CCUACGGAGUGCAGCAGUGGGGAAUAUUGGACAAUGGGCGAAAGCCUGAUCCAGCCAUGCCGCGUGUGUGAAGAAGGCCUUCGGGUUGUAAAGCACUUUCAGUGGGGAAGAAAGCCUUGGGGCUAAUACCCUCGAGGAAGGACAUCACCCACAGAAGAAGCACCGGCUAACUCCGUGCCAGCAGCCGCGGUAAUACGGAGGGUGCGAGCGUUAAUCGGAAUUACUGGGCGUAAAGCGCGCGUAGGCGGUCUGAUAAGCCGGUUGUGAAAGCCCCGGGCUCAACCUGGGAACGGCAUCCGGAACUGUCAGGCUAGAGUGCAGGAGAGGAAGGUAGAAUUCCCGGUGUAGCGGUGAAAUGCGUAGAGAUCGGGAGGAAUACCAGUGGCGAAGGCGGCCUUCUGGACUGACACUGACGCUGAGGUGCGAAAGCGUGGGUAGCAAACAGGAUUAGAUACCCCGGUAGUC
Molecule: ribosomal RNA, 465 nt
Filed under: Vreelandella stevensii
Lineage: Bacteria; Pseudomonadati; Pseudomonadota; Gammaproteobacteria; Oceanospirillales; Halomonadaceae
Description: partial 16S ribosomal RNA
Rfam family: Bacterial small subunit ribosomal RNA
Source: RNAcentral